This 490-nucleotide ribosomal RNA is filed under the name uncultured bacterium. RNAcentral describes it as "partial 16S ribosomal RNA". It matches the Rfam family "Bacterial small subunit ribosomal RNA", at positions 30 to 507 of the family's 1533-position model. The record is from RNAcentral.
AUUGAACGCUGGCGGCAGGCCUAACACAUGCAAGUCGAACGGUAACAGGAAGAAGCUUGCUUCUUUGCUGACGAGUGGCGGACGGGUGAGUAAUGUCUGGGAAACUGCCUGAUGGAGGGGGAUAACUACUGGAAACGGUAGCUAAUACCGCAUAAUGUCGCAAGACCAAAGAGGGGGACCUUCGGGCCUCUUGCCAUCGGAUGUGCCCAGAUGGGAUUAGCUAGUAGGUGGGGUAACGGCUCACCUAGGCGACGAUCCCUAGCUGGUCUGAGAGGAUGACCAGCCACACUGGAACUGAGACACGGUCCAGACUCCUACGGGAGGCAGCAGUGGGGAAUGUUGCACAAUGGGCGCAAGCCUGAUGCAGCUAUGCCGCGUGUAUGAAGAAGGCCUUCGGGUUGUAAAGUACUUUCAGCGGGGAGGAAGGGAGUAAAGUUAAUACCUUUGCUCAUUGACGUUACCCGCAGAAGAAGCACCGGCUAACUCCGUG